Small nucleolar RNA from Gorilla gorilla gorilla (western lowland gorilla), 217 nucleotides. The record is from Ensembl. Lineage: Eukaryota; Metazoa; Chordata; Mammalia; Primates; Hominidae.
AAGACUGUACUUUCAGGGAUCAUUUCUAUAGUUUGUUACUAGAGAAGUUUCUCUGAACGUGUAUAGCACUGAAAACCACAAAGAAGAGGUGCAGCAUUAUCUCCUAAGUGUAAAGCCGGCUCUUGAUGUUGCUUUGCUGCAACUGCCAUUUGCCAUUGAUGAUCGUUCUUUUCUUCCUUUGGGAGACUGGGAAGGAAAGGAUGCAAUCUGAGUGGUU